Molecule: ribosomal RNA, 560 nt
Filed under: Exiguobacterium homiense
Lineage: Bacteria; Bacillati; Bacillota; Bacilli; Caryophanales
Description: bacterial SSU rRNA
Rfam family: Bacterial small subunit ribosomal RNA
Source: RNAcentral
GUCAUCGGACCGCAUGGUCCGAGGAUGAAAGGCGCUUCGGCGUCGCCUGGGGAUGGCUUUGCGGUGCAUUAGCUAGUUGGUGGGGUAAUGGCCCACCAAGGCGACGAUGCAUAGCCGACCUGAGAGGGUGAUCGGCCACACUGGGACUGAGACACGGCCCAGACUCCUACGGGAGGCAGCAGUAGGGAAUCUUCCACAAUGGACGAAAGUCUGAUGGAGCAACGCCGCGUGAACGAUGAAGGCCUUCGGGUCGUAAAGUUCUGUUGUAAGGGAAGAACAAGUGCCGCAGGCAAUGGCGGCACCUUGACGGUACCUUGCGAGAAAGCCACGGCUAACUACGUGCCAGCAGCCGCGGUAAUACGUAGGUGGCAAGCGUUGUCCGGAAUUAUUGGGCGUAAAGCGCGCGCAGGCGGCCUCUUAAGUCUGAUGUGAAAGCCCCCGGCUCAACCGGGGAGGGCCAUUGGAAACUGGGAGGCUUGAGUAUAGGAGAGAAGAGUGGAAUUCCACGUGUAGCGGUGAAAUGCGUAGAGAUGUGGAGGAACACCAGUGGCGAAGGCGAC